UACGAAGGGGGCUAGCGUUGUUCGGAAUUACUGGGCGUAAAGCGCACGUAGGCGGGCUUGUAAGUAGGAGGUGAAAUCCCAAGGCUCAACCUUGGAAUUGCCUUCUAGACUGCGAGUCUGGAGGUCAGGAGAGGCGAGUGGAAUACCGAGUGUAGAGGUGAAAUUCGUAGAUAUUCGGUGGAACACCAGUGGCGAAGGCGACUCGCUGGACUGAUACUGACGCUGAGGUGCGCAAGCGUGGGGAGCAAACAGG
This 253-nucleotide ribosomal RNA is filed under the name uncultured bacterium. RNAcentral's name for it is "partial 16S ribosomal RNA". It matches the Rfam family "Bacterial small subunit ribosomal RNA", at positions 524 to 776 of the family's 1533-position model. The record is from RNAcentral.